GGGGAUGUAGCUCAAAUGGUAGAGCGCUCGCUUAGCAUGUGAGAAUUACGGGGACUUCCUUGCAUUUCCA
Molecule: transfer RNA, 70 nt
Organism: Ipomoea nil (Japanese morning glory)
Lineage: Eukaryota; Viridiplantae; Streptophyta; Magnoliopsida; Solanales; Convolvulaceae
Rfam family: tRNA
About the family: Transfer RNA (tRNA) molecules are approximately 80 nucleotides in length.
Source: Rfam